This 301-nucleotide ribosomal RNA is filed under the name uncultured bacterium. RNAcentral describes it as "partial 16S ribosomal RNA". It matches the Rfam family "Bacterial small subunit ribosomal RNA", at positions 509 to 809 of the family's 1533-position model. The record is from RNAcentral.
CAGCAGCCACGGUAAUACGGAGGGAGCUAGCGUUGUUCGGAAUUACUGGGCGUAAAGCGCGCGUAGGCGGUUACUCAAGUCAGAGGUGAAAGCCCGGGGCUCAACCCCGGAACUGCCUUUGAAACUAGGUGACUAGAAUCUUGGAGAGGUCAGUGGAAUUCCGAGUGUAGAGGUGAAAUUCGUAGAUAUUCGGAAGAACACCAGUGGCGAAGGCGACUGACUGGACAAGUAUUGACGCUGAGGUGCGAAAGCGUGGGGAGCAAACAGGAUUAGAUACCCGCGUAGUCCCUGUCUCUUAUAU